GUCAUCUAAAAAUGACUAGUGUUCCUAAACAUGAUGUGAUUUCACAAGCUUAAACAUGUCUGACGUUCUUUUCUAACCUUUGCUGGAUGCUUCAACAGUGUUUGGCUGUCAAUAAUUUACCCUGGCUGAUUGAGUUUAUACUUGCCUGCUUUGUGAAUAAAAGUGUUUGGAUUACAAAGAAGAGAUUGAGUUAUCCUGCAGAGAGAUGGUGCAAUAAGCAGAUUUUUCUCUUCUUUCAUCCACAGCAUUAUUUCAGCUGGGAGCUGUAGUAUGUGACUAAUUAGCCAAUGGAAGUCCACUCUCUGGACUUUCUGGUGGUAUAUUUACACUGAAUUCUGGCCUGAUAAUAAAGGUGUCACCCAGUGUAACAAUGUGACACACCCAGAGUGAAGAAGAAAAGUCUAAGAUAACACAGAGCCUCUGUCAGCCCUCAAACUUAUUUUUCACAAGCUUCAGCAAUAUUCCAAACAACAAAAGAAAUAUGACUGAACAGACACAAAUUUUGAGGACAUAUUUUUUCCCCAGUAUUUUUUUAACAGGUACUACUGAUGUCCCAGUGCUUUUGAGGGUCUUGUUUGUCCUCCUGGAUGCUUUAGGAAGUUACCACUUUCAGCUCACCUAGAGCUGAUCUCAUUAAUAAAAGAAUGACUUUACAGAAAAGAGUUUCUAAAAUUAUACUCUCACUCAGAAUUGCAAGAGUUGGCUUUUCAGCCUGAAGAUAAAUUUCUUAAGCAUUAAGCUUACUUUAUCAAGUAUUACACCUGACAUUCUCUCAUAAAUUUUGCAUAUAUUUUAACUAAUUUUAAUAUUGUGUGGGCUUGGUUUAUAAUAUUCUCAUGCAGUUACUAAAGUUGAAUCUUCUCAGUCAUAUAUUAGUUGUAAGAAUGCUUAACCCCUUCCAAAAUAUCACUCACUUAAAAUCACAUCAGCUAAGUCUCCUCUUAUUUUUGCUUAUUUCUUGGUUAUUUACCAUGCAUUUUGUGUAUGUUGGAACCAGCCAUGCAGUCGUUGUAUUCCUUUUUUGAGAGGGCAAAUGUAUUUUGACAAGGUUGCUAUUGGAAACACUUUUUAAAUAUCUCAUGUGUCACAUCACAAUCAGCAUCAUAAUCUGAUCAGGUGGAUUAAUUUCAGAAGGCAGCAGAGGGCAUUGCUUACAGGGGUCACAGACAUUCAGAUCAUGGCAGAACUGUCACAGAUGUUACUUUGUGAAAACACAAAGAAUAAUGUGUUUGGAGAGAUCAGUCUUCAAUUAGCUAUAUUUUCUAGGAGCCUACCUUUACUUAGCCUCACAACAUGGGCCUUAGCUUUAGCACUUAAUCUGCACAAAUACCUGGCUUAAGUGUUAUGACUGACUGGCUAUUCAACCAAACCAUACAAAUGACCAAUUCGGUAAGAAAGCAUGAACUUCAGUGUUGAACCAAAUCAACCAACCUCCUCAAUCCAAAUGAACAAUGCUAUUCUAGGAGUCUGUGCUAGAAUAAAAUCCUAAUGCAAAGGCUGUCUUAAAAUGCUGAACCCAGAAGAAUUUGGCAUAAAUAAGACAUGGAGUUAGCUGACAUGAGAUAUUACAUUUAUUCCACUGUUGACGAGGACAAAACUGGGCCGCUAUUGUCACAGGAGAGGAUAACAAAGGAAGCUGAGGAAGUCUGUUCUGGAGGCACCAUGACAAAGCACCAGACAGAAAGCAGUCACGUGUGGGGAGAUGAGCAGAGACACCACUUCUCAAGCACCUGAUUAUUCUUUCUCAGUAUUUAGAAGCAAAAAUUAUCCUUAAGAAAAACAACCGCAAACGCAACACAGGCUACACAGAUGAGAAAAUGGGGCUUGCAGAGCUCAAACCAUUACACCAUUCAGAAGCUGGCUUUGGUAUUACUUCAAGUUAUUCAAAACAGUCACCACUUGCUGAGCCUCUGAUGUCUCAUCUGUUGAAUGGGUACAUUUUCUUCCUGAUCCUUCCACCUCUAAACUUGUCUAUUUCCAAGGAUCUAUGGCAUCCAGGCAUAUGAUUUCAAGAGAGAAGGCUGAAAAGGAAGGUGACUGGAAUAUUAAGAACUGUGAGAUAUUCUGAGGAAACUCUAAUUUGUAAAUUGGUAGAAAUGCCAGUAAUUUGUUGGGAAUUGAAGACCCUCUGUAUUCAAGAGCGAAGCUUGGCAGCUGUGCACUGUUGUUUUAUAAAUCAAUAUUACAUCUGAAGGUGGUGUUUGAAUGUUUGUGUCAUUGGGGUUUGUCUCCAACAUAGUCCUGUGACAAGAAAUGUUCAAACAAAACAAACACAAUCCCUUCCCUGUCCUUUAGGAUAAAGUCCAAACGUAAUUCCACAACAGGGAUAUAACAUUCAAAUCAACUACAGAACUUCUGUAAUUAUAUAAAACCCCACGACCACAGAAAUGCAAUUGAAUUGAAGACACUUUGCAAUAUUCCCCAAGAAAGGACUGUGUGGCUGUCAGAUUAACAAAAGUCAAGAGGUGGUGAGACAAUGCUCACCAUUGCAAAAAAGAGCUUUGUGCAUAAUGAACAGAAUUUGCAUGCCUGUUUAGGAAAUUAAGGUGAAGCCAAGGUGACUUAGGGUCACAUGAGGAGUCACAAC
This 2587-nucleotide long non-coding RNA is filed under the name Homo sapiens (human). RNAcentral's name for it is "HSALNT0302705". Lineage: Eukaryota; Metazoa; Chordata; Mammalia; Primates; Hominidae. The record is from RNAcentral.